Molecule: long non-coding RNA, 222 nt
Filed under: Elaeis guineensis (African oil palm)
Lineage: Eukaryota; Viridiplantae; Streptophyta; Magnoliopsida; Arecales; Arecaceae
Description: long non-coding RNA (EGUI_LNC059493)
Source: RNAcentral
GAUGAACCAAUUGGUAUGUAAGAUAAGUUUGACAGUUUUGAUUGGUGGUCAUUAAUUGGGAGCUACUUGCAUAGAUUGAGUUUAUGGUGAGUUAAUGGCAUAUCCCUCCCACCGAUCUUACUUACUUGGCGAAUGAGGUCAAUCAGCUUUUGGUUCGAUUGCUUAUUGAUUCGUACUAACCCAUGCUGCAUAGGUUGAUCAGUAUGACUGAUUUAGAUGCCU